GGUGUGGUGUAGGGGUAGCAUGCGACGUUGUGGUACCUCAUUGGACGACAACUCCGUCUCGACCCCGGUUCGAUUCCGGGCACAGCCA
Molecule: transfer RNA, 88 nt
Filed under: Elsinoe australis
Lineage: Eukaryota; Fungi; Ascomycota; Dothideomycetes; Myriangiales; Elsinoaceae
Description: tRNA-His
Source: RNAcentral